Humulus lupulus (European hop) is the source of this 763-nucleotide long non-coding RNA. RefSeq lists it as uncharacterized. The transcript has 4 exons. Lineage: Eukaryota; Viridiplantae; Streptophyta; Magnoliopsida; Rosales; Cannabaceae. The record is from RefSeq and is a predicted model, not a curated record.
CAAAAAUUAAGUCUUAAUUUUUUUUUUCUCUCUCUCUUGGGUUCUCUUCACUGCCAUUUCACUCACAACCGCACCAAUCUUCCCUCUCAUUCCAUUUCAUUCUUCUCUCUGCAGGUCCACGGUCACCGGUGGGGGUUGCGAGGGGCUAGCGCGGGCUCAUUGGGGCUAGAAAACGCAGAGGCCUGGGACUACUCGACAAUGCUUGCAGGUAAAAUCUCACUCUCCACUGUCUCUUCAAAUCCCAGGUGCUGUGUGCUACUACAUAUUGUUUGGAAAUGAAUAAAGGGUGGAAGAGUUUGUUUAUAGAGUAGUGCUCCUUCUUGCAGAUAAAGAUGAGGAGUUGGGAGAGGCACUUGCAGAAAUCAAAUCCCUAAGGAACUCAGAACGCCUUAAACAGAAGGUAGUUGAAGAGAGUAGAUAAGGGUGGAAAGACUGCUGGUUACCGAGAGCCUUGGGAGAUUCUAUAUGACAAGGUUUGUUGAUUGAUAAAGAGGGAGUAUGCAUGGAAGAUGUUGCUCGAAGAUGUUGAAGUUUUACCCUUGUAGUUGCUAAGAUUGUCCGGCUUCAUAAUCCUCCUCUUUAGUUUAUAGGUUUUGGAGAUAAACAAAUUAUAAUUUAUUUGUGGUAUGUAUGGAUUCUGUGUCUUCAUGUUGUCUUUUACAGGGAUACUAUAGUAGUAUUAUAUUUGUCCAAAAUUUGUUUUAUUAGAUUUGUAAAUACUUUGUAUAAGUUUUGUUAUUUUAAUCUAUAAUUUUUUUAGAUU